Molecule: long non-coding RNA, 695 nt
Filed under: Chinchilla lanigera (long-tailed chinchilla)
Lineage: Eukaryota; Metazoa; Chordata; Mammalia; Rodentia; Chinchillidae
Description: lncRNA (ENSCLAG00000026507.1)
Source: RNAcentral
ACCAGAUCCUCCUCCAAGUUUCACUGGCAAAGAAACUCUAACCACUUAGGGGCCCAGACAAACGCAGAUGGCAGAAACGGGCUGGCACCUGACAAUACGGCCAUAAAUCUAGCCCAUACUAUGUCCUUUUCCUGAGGUCCAGAAUGAGCGGAUGCAUCUGGUGACCUGGGCCAUGCACCAGAGCGUGACCUUUGAAACACAGAUGUUUGGGGACUUGCCAGUUCCCCUUCUCGUCAAACAGAGAGCAUAAUGCCUCUGCUUCACAGGUGCGUAAUGAGGAGCAGAUGAUAUACUGGAUGGAAAGUAGUCCAAAAGGUCAAGAGUCCUGCAGAAUAAAUCACCGGGCUGUGGUGGAGAGUUUUCUUCAGCUGGGCUCAGAAGAGGAAGUCAGAAAUAAGAAAGCUGAGGAGGAGUCAACAGCGGCAAGGAAAUGGGAACUUCAGUCCUACAACCACAAGGAGCAAAUUACCUAAAUGACCUUAGAAGCUGAUUGUGUCCAUAGCCUCCAGGUAAGAGCCUGACCUGGCCAACAUCUUAACUUUAGACUGAGAGACCCUCAAGUGAACCUGGGUGAGCCCACUUGGACUUCUGACCCUUAGAAGAAUGACAUCCUAAGAGGAUACUGUUUUGAAGGCCACAAAUAUAAGCUCUGGAGUGAUUUUGGAAUCCAGACCUGCACUCUACUACUAGUUGGC